AGCAGCCGCGGUAAUUCCAGCUCCAAUAGCGUAUAUUAAAGUUGUUGCAGUUAAAAAGCUCGUAGUUGAAUUUCGGGGUCAGUAGGUUGGUCAUGCCACUGGUAUGUACUGGCCUCACUGAUUCCUCCUUCCUGAUGAGCCGUAAUGCCAUUAAUUUGGUGUUGCGAGGAAUCUGGACUGUUACUUUGAAAAAUUAGAGUGUUUAAAGCAGGCUAACGCUUGAAUACAUUAGCAUGGAAUAAUGAAAUAGGACGUUCGAUCUUAUUUUGUUGGUUUCUAAGAUUGACGUAAUGAUUAAUAGGGAUAGUUGGGGGCAUUAGUAUUCAAUUGUCAGAGGUGAAAUUCUUGGAUUUAUUGAAGACUAACUACUGCGAAAGCAUUUGCCAAGGAUGUUUUCAUUAAUCAAGAACGAAAGUUAGGGGAUCGAAGACGAUCAGAUACCGUCGUAGUCUUAACCAUAAACUAUGCCGACUA
RNAcentral lists this ribosomal RNA (474 nucleotides) under uncultured Glomus. RNAcentral's name for it is "SSU rRNA". It matches the Rfam family "Eukaryotic small subunit ribosomal RNA", at positions 569 to 1048 of the family's 1831-position model. Lineage: Eukaryota; Fungi; Glomeromycota; Glomeromycetes; Glomerales; Glomeraceae. The record is from RNAcentral.